GACAGUAUAUUUAAAGUGUAAUAAUAUUUACUCUGCAAGUAAAAGUUGGAUGCGUUGUGUUCUACUGUUG
Molecule: transfer RNA, 70 nt
Filed under: Schistosoma margrebowiei
Lineage: Eukaryota; Metazoa; Platyhelminthes; Trematoda; Strigeidida; Schistosomatidae
Description: tRNA-Ala
Source: RNAcentral